This 253-nucleotide ribosomal RNA is filed under the name uncultured bacterium. RNAcentral's name for it is "partial 16S ribosomal RNA". It matches the Rfam family "Bacterial small subunit ribosomal RNA", at positions 524 to 776 of the family's 1533-position model. The record is from RNAcentral.
UACAGAGGGGGCAAGCGUUAUUCGGAAUUAUUGGGCGUAAAGGGUGCGUAGGCGGGUCUUUAAGUCAGGGGUGAAAUCCUGGAGCUCAACUCCAGAACUGCCUUUGAUACUGAAGAUCUUGAGUUCGGGAGAGGUGAGUGGAACUGCGAGUGUAGAGGUGAAAUUCGUAGAUAUUCGCAAGAACACCAGUGGCGAAGGCGGCUCACUGGCCCGAUACUGACGCUGAGGCACGAAAGCGUGGGGAGCGAACAGG